This 1309-nucleotide long non-coding RNA is filed under the name Salmo salar (Atlantic salmon). RNAcentral describes it as "lncRNA (ENSSSAG00000090017.1)". Lineage: Eukaryota; Metazoa; Chordata; Actinopteri; Salmoniformes; Salmonidae. The record is from RNAcentral.
UCUGCCCUAUAGCAUGCAUCUGUCUAUUGGAGCUGGUUAGUAUGUCUAGGUAAUCGAGUCAAACUUGGCUUUUUUUAAAUGUAGCACGUAGUAAAACUGCAUAAACCUAAUGUCAAGUUAAAGUGUAUUGUUAGCUAGCUAACGUUAGCUGGCUGGCUCGCUAGUUGCUAACGUUAUGUGUAUGCGCUCCACUUUCUGGAGGACCGAGUUUUGAAAUCAGUGGAAUUCGAGUAUGAUAGCUAAGGAGAUGGAGAAAACACCAGUCUGGAUUACAUCAUCAAACUAAGGGCAACCAUGCAUGGCAUCAGACAGGAGACGCGUCCAACCAUGAUGUAUACUGAUGUCUGGAAGUAGCAGGCAAGUUACUACAGAAUACACGGAUCAACCCUUAAAGAGAUGGGUGGGGCUAAGGCUGAAGAGGGUGUGAACAAUGCUGAAUGGGUGUAGACAAAGAAGGGCUCUCCAAUAGUAGUACCAAAACAUUGAAAGACGGUUUUCUCAAAAGGCCGGGGGGUGAGACAGGGAUGCAGCUUAAGCCCCAGCAUCUUCAACGUAUAUAUCAACGAAUUGGCGAGGGCACUAGAACAGUCUACAGCACCCGGCCUCACCCUACUAGAAUCUGAAGUCAAAUGUCUACUAAUGGCGGUGGAGGGGAUUGCUACCGUUUUCACAGGCUCCUAACCAACUGUGCUAUUUUGUUUGUUUUUUCGCUUUGUUUGUAACUCAUUUUGUACAUAAUGUUGCUGAUACCAUCUCUUAUGACCGAAAAGAGCUUCUGGGCAUCAGAACAGCGAUAACUCACCUUGAACAGGGUGCCUUGUAAGAGUUUGCACUCCCUGUAGGCUGACUCAUCAUUAUUGGUAAUCAGGCCUACUACUGUUGUGUCGUCUGCAACCUUGAUGAAUGAGUUGGAGGCGUGCGUGGCCACGCAGUCAUGGGUGAACAGGGAGUACAGGAGGGGGCUGAAAACACACCCUUGUGGGGCCCCUGUGUUGGGGAUCAGCGAAGUGGAGGUGUUGUUUCCUACCUUCACCACCUGGGGGCGGCCCAUCAGGAAGUCCAGGACCCAGUUGAACAGGCAACUCUACUCCCACUUGUCUCCAAUUCCACAUCCUAACCCUCAGCUUCCCUCAGCCCCUCCCACCUAUCUCUGCUAGCCACCCUCUUCGGAUUUCUACGCAACAUAUAUCUUUCAACUAUGCUGUGAUGUUUAACGUACAAUUUCAAUCUUUCUAAUUGAAUAGAAUCCACAGAUUGCAAGUUGAAGAUUAAUACCUUUACUAAGGGUAUUAGUAUAUUAGUAAUUGAC